Molecule: non-coding RNA, 111 nt
Organism: Ustulina deusta
Lineage: Eukaryota; Fungi; Ascomycota; Sordariomycetes; Xylariales; Xylariaceae
Source: the annotation of a GenBank genome assembly
CCCAGAGUGGUGUAGUAGAAACACGCCGAGAUGACAGUUAAGCUCUUCGUCAUUGAGGGCUUAAUCCCUACGGGGACGGAGGAGUCCCAGGUUCGAUCCCUGGCUCUGGAC